Molecule: long non-coding RNA, 2442 nt
Organism: Kogia breviceps (pygmy sperm whale)
Lineage: Eukaryota; Metazoa; Chordata; Mammalia; Artiodactyla; Physeteridae
Source: RefSeq, a predicted model, not a curated record
AUGAAUGAACUCCGUCUUCACCGUUGGAGGCAAAUCACGAUACCGCUGUUCUAAACACUUUGCUUCAAUGUCUGUAGCCCGGCGACCAACCUCCGGGGUGGACACGACCCUCAGAAGCUGAAAGGAUGGUGGCCGACGAGGUCCACAAACCGCGGUUCCAAGGACCCGGAAUCUGGCUCCUCGCGGUCCUUCUAUGACGCAAUAUUUCCGCGCCGGGUUCGAGGCUCUUUACGGGGAGCCGCCAUUUUCCCACCUACUGCCGAACGAUGCGGGAGGUAUUCCUUUCCCUGCCUUCCGCGGGAAGGUCAAAAACGAUUCACAUGUUGAAGCCCUAAGAUCCAGUGUGGCUCUAAUCAGAGAUGGGGCUCCUAAGGCUCCCUAAAGCCAGCUUCGGUACCGGACUACGGCGGCCGAUGAGGGACUGAAACUUUUGUACCCAGCACCGACAAUCGGACUUCCGGCUUCUCCUUAGAGGGUGAUGCGUCCGCUCCCUCGGCGCCUCGCCUGCCUGGGGGCAGCCAUCUUUGAGCAUUUAUCAUGCAGAACAGAGAUGGCUGUUUCUGCGCCACUAACCCGGAUGGCUCGAGACCAGUGAAAGGCCCCUGAACUGUUCCCUCACCUGAUACUUCAUCCCCUGUGCGGCGAGGCUGGAAGAGUUGCGAACGACACUGCACAAGCUACGUAGAGUUUCAGAGGCUCGAGCUUAUACAAGGCAAACAUGGCGCGGGCGCCGUCCACUUCAGCGGUCAAGAAAGAAACGGCCCAAUGAGCGCGGCCAUGUAAAAGGAAUUUCAGGUGUCCGUACAGCGGAGAACACGCCCCCUUUCCCCCCAAAGUGAACAGGAUGGCCCGCCAAGCUUGGGGAAUAGAAGGGCCCAUGACAAGUCCCUGCAUCUCAGCUUGUGAGGUUAAACUUAGCAGGUGAGUGCGGGUCAAAGUGUGAAUUCAUUGUCGAGGUUGUCUUUUGUUUCAGGCCAGUUCGGAAAACACCAAGUGUUGAAAUUUGAAAUUGUGGUCCGUGAAAUAAGUGGACACAAAAGCUACUGUGAUGCUGUCAGAGUAUCAGCAAUGCAGUGCCAAUAUUUUUUGAAGAAAUCGUUGUUGAACACAAAUUCGUGUGCUAAGUAAACCAAAAUGUUGGACUUUUGAGCAGAGAGAGUUUUAUUGCAGGGCCAAGGACAGAGAAUGCCUGGCUCGUGCUCGAAAAACCCGAGCUCCCUGAUGGUUUUGGGGGAAGAGAUUUUAAAGGCAAAAUUUGGGGUGAGGGCUGGAGGAUGUGUGACUUUCUUCUGAUUGGUGGUGAGGUAAUAGGGCGGUGUCCAGGAAUCUUUUGCUCAGCCUGAAGUUACCAUCCUCUGCUUGGGUGGGGGCCUUAGUUGCUACAGAACUCAAAGGUAUAUUGUUAUGUGUAUCCCUUGAGGAGGAACCAGGACCCCUCUUUACGCUGCACUAUUGUUUCUUUACUGCUUUUCCUUUGCUACUGCGUUCCCUUACUUCCCUAAUUAGAAGCUAUUUGAAUCUGCCCGUUGGAACUCAUGGAAGGUCUAGGAGGCUGAAGACUUUUUCCUACGAACAAGAAAGGGGGGACACGGAAAGGCUUUUAUACCCGGCAGGGCCCACAGGGUUCUGCUAAGUUUCAAAAUCACACAAAACCAUUCUUUCUGGGACUAUGUCAUCAAGGCCUUAGCACCUCUGCUUGCAUCUGAGAUUAUUGGGAGACGAUUCUGGAGCAUCUAUGUUCUGCUUUGUCACUUUUUUAUGUCCAACCCCUUCUCUCUGUUCACCCCUUACCCUAUCUCUGCAUCUUAGUCCAAGCUCCUUCCAGCUUUAGCAGCAGUGAGCUAUUGUUGCAGGAGAAGGGGGGAGCAAGAGAAUGGUCACAUCCCAGGUCUCAAGAGAGUCCUUGGCUUCUCGCAGGAAAGAAUUCAAGAGCGAGCAAUAAUACAGUGAAAGCUAGCUUAUUCAGAGAAGUACACAUUCCAUAGGCAGAAGGUGAGAGCAGCCCCGAGUAAUUUCAUAGGCUAACACGUGGAAGGAUUAUUCCAACUGUUUGAGGGAAAGGGCAGGAAUUUUCAGGAAUUGGGCCACCACCCACUUUUUGGUCCUUCUUGGUCAGGCUUGGAACUGUCAUGGCACUGGUGGGUGUGUCAUUUAGCAUGUUAAUGUAUUACAGUGAGUGUAUAAUGAGGCUCAAGGUCUAUGGGAAGUCAAAUCUUGGGCCUAGCAAGUACUAACCAUUUUAUAUCAUAUCCUCAAUGGCUGUGUCACUCUUUCAAUGGCUGUGCCCUGGCCCCUUUCCUUCCUCUUUCACUAAGGCAGAGACAAAUCAAGUAUUCCAUACAAACUUUCAAGACAUAUAAGUCGGUCAACGGUAACUUUACAGAUAUGUCCCCAAAAGCUAUUAAAACUAUCCUAUCAGGUAAGAAUUGCCAUAAUUUUUUU